This 242-nucleotide ribosomal RNA is filed under the name uncultured bacterium. RNAcentral's name for it is "partial 16S ribosomal RNA". It matches the Rfam family "Bacterial small subunit ribosomal RNA", at positions 535 to 776 of the family's 1533-position model. The record is from RNAcentral.
CGAGCGUUAUUCGGAAUUAUUGGGCGUAAAGGGCGCGUAGGCGGCUUUUCAAGUGACGGGUGAAAUCCCUCGGCUUAACCGAGGAACUGCCUGUCAGACUGGAAGGCUUGAGACCGGGAGAGGUGAGUGGAAUUCCCAGUGUAGCGGUGAAAUGCGUAGAUAUUGGGAGGAACACCAGUGGCGAAGGCGGCUCACUGGACCGGAACUGACGCUGAGGCGCGAAAGCGUGGGGAGCAAACAGG